CACGGCAGAGCUUGAUAGCUAAGCAUCUCUUUUACGCAGAGAAAAUAUUUGUGCAACUCAAAUUGCCUUGA
RNAcentral lists this transfer RNA (71 nucleotides) under Anthenea aspera. Its description in RNAcentral is "tRNA-Val". Lineage: Eukaryota; Metazoa; Echinodermata; Asteroidea; Valvatida; Oreasteridae. The record is from RNAcentral.